AGGCUUAACACAUGCAAGUCGAGGGGCAGCAUGGUCUUAGCUUGCUAAGACUGAUGGCGACCGGCGCACGGGUGAGUAACACGUAUCCAACCUGCCGUCUACUCUUGGACAGCCUUCUGAAAGGAAGAUUAAUACAAGAUGGCAUCAUGAGUCCGCAUGUUCACAUGAUUAAAGGUAUUCCGGUAGACGAUGGGGAUGCGUUCCAUUAGAUAGUAGACGGGGUAACGGCCCACCUAGUCUUCGAUGGAUAGGGGUUCUGAGAGGAAGGUCCCCCACAUUGGAACUGAGACACGGUCCAAACUCCUACGGGAGGCAGCAGUGAGGAAUAUUGGUCAAUGGGCGAGAGCCUGAACCAGCCAAGUAGCGUGAAGGAUGACUGCCCUAUGGGUUGUAAACUUCUUUUAUAAAGGAAUAAAGUCGGGUAUGUAUACCCGUUUGCAUGUACUUUAUGAAUAAGGAUCGGCUAACUCCGUGCCAGCAGCCGCGGUAAUACGGAGGAUCCGAGCGUUAUCCGGAUUUAUUGGGUUUAAAGGGAGCGUAGAUGGAUGUUUAAGUCAGUUGUGAAAGUCUGCGGCUCAACCGUAAAAUUGCAGUUGAUACUGGAUAUCUUGAGUGCAGUUGAGGCAGGCGGAAUUCGUGGUGUAGCGGUGAAAUGCUUAGAUAUCACGAAGAACUCCGAUUGCGAAGGCAGCCUGCUAAGCUGCAACUGACAUUGAGGCUCGAAAGUGUGGGUAUCAAACAGGAUUAGAUACCCUGGUAGUCCACACGGUAAACGAUGAAUACUCGCUGUUUGCGAUAUACUGCAAGCGGCCAAGCGAAAGCGUUAAGUAUUCCAC
This 836-nucleotide ribosomal RNA is filed under the name uncultured organism. RNAcentral's name for it is "SSU rRNA". It matches the Rfam family "Bacterial small subunit ribosomal RNA", at positions 44 to 872 of the family's 1533-position model. The record is from RNAcentral.